This 796-nucleotide long non-coding RNA is filed under the name Lingula anatina. RNAcentral's name for it is "uncharacterized LOC106175081, transcript variant X1". The record is from RNAcentral. Lineage: Eukaryota; Metazoa; Brachiopoda; Lingulata; Lingulida; Lingulidae.
GAAACAUAUCCCAAACUUUUUCUUAUAUAUGAAGGUCACGAUCUAAACCAAAAUUCGCCUUUGAGGUAGACGGCAAUCAAAAUAAUUAAUUAUUUCACAUUCGAGUCUGUAUUGGAGAACGUCCUCUCCCCAAAAAAGAGAAGACGACUACCGCAAGGUUUUAGCCAAUCAGAGUGCGUUGCCUAAAAUAGCACUCGUACACUAGGAGAAACAAAUAUGGCGCGGUGGAGUUCGAAAUCGAGAGUAGGCCUAUUGUUGAUGAGGCAAGCAGUCAGAGCAGUCCAGAACUAGAGGGUAAAGAGCUCCCUGAGCAUACUAUCUUCUGAUGUCAGCCUCAUUAGAAAAAAAGCCCUGUAUAAAGGUUUAGUAGAGUUGGCAGUGAUACAUAGCACUUCUAGGUCCAGUAGUACAAGGCUUGGAAGAGGUGUGAGAUCAGGAGGAUUGACUCAAGAACAUGAAAGGAGAAUUCAGUAACUCACAGAAGAGAGCAUACAUGAUGGUGUUGCCAAGAAAAUGAUGGUGUUGCCAAGGAAAGUGCUGAAUACAUUGUGACAAGUGUGAUGGAAAUCCUGGCCUUGCACUGGAUAUAAAGAUGCUUUUGCUAGAGAAUUUACCAAGCAAUGACUCAGCAUCAGUGGAGAUGGGACUGGCCCAUCUCCCACUCACUGUAAUGUCCCCUACAUUUUGACUGCCGUUGAAUUUGCUGGAUUACUUCACUUUGAAGAGAUUCUUUUCAUUCUACUGUAAUUUGUGCAACCAUUCAGUGAACAUAAAAAAUAAAGGCAUAGAAAAACAA